RNAcentral lists this transfer RNA (72 nucleotides) under Danionella translucida. It matches the Rfam family "tRNA". From Rfam's summary of the family: Transfer RNA (tRNA) molecules are approximately 80 nucleotides in length. Their secondary structure includes four short double-helical elements and three loops (D, anti-codon, and T loops). Lineage: Eukaryota; Metazoa; Chordata; Actinopteri; Cypriniformes; Danionidae. The record is from Rfam by way of RNAcentral. RNAcentral also lists the same sequence under 1 other name.
GGUUCUAUGGUGUAAUGGUUAGACCUCUGGACUCUAUAUCCAGUGAUCCGAGUUCAAAUAUCAGUAGGACUU